CCUACGGGUGGCUGCAGUGGGGAAUAUUGCACAAUGGGCGCAAGCCUGAUGCAGCCAUGCCGCGUGUGUGAAGAAGGCCUUCGGGUUGUAAAGCACUUUCAGCGGGGAGGAAGGCGUUAAGGUUAAUAACCUUGGCGAUUGACGUUACCCGCAGAAGAAGCACCGGCUAACUCCGUGCCAGCAGCCGCGGUAAUACGGAGGGUGCAAGCGUUAAUCGGAAUUACUGGGCGUAAAGCGCACGCAGGCGGUCUGUCAAGUCGGAUGUGAAAUCCCCGGGCUCAACCUGGGAACUGCAUUCGAAACUGGCAGGCUAGAGUCUUGUAGAGGGGGGUAGAAUUCCAGGUGUAGCGGUGAAAUGCGUAGAGAUCUGGAGGAAUACCGGUGGCGAAGGCGGCCCCCUGGACAAAGACUGACGCUCAGGUGCGAAAGCGUGGGGAGCAAACAGGAUUAGAUACCCGGUAGUC
This 464-nucleotide ribosomal RNA is filed under the name uncultured Klebsiella sp. RNAcentral describes it as "bacterial SSU rRNA". It matches the Rfam family "Bacterial small subunit ribosomal RNA", at positions 338 to 795 of the family's 1533-position model. The record is from RNAcentral. Lineage: Bacteria; Pseudomonadati; Pseudomonadota; Gammaproteobacteria; Enterobacterales; Enterobacteriaceae.